CCUACGGGAGGCAGCAGUGAGGAAUAUUGGUCAAUGGACGAGAGUCUGAACCAGCCAAGUAGCGUGAAGGAUGACUGCCCUAUGGGUUGUAAACUUCUUUUAUAUGGGAAUAAAACAGGGUAUGCAUACCCUCUUGUAUGUACCAUAUGAAUAAGGAUCGGCUAACUCCGUGCCAGAAGCCGCGGUAAUACGGAGGAUCCGAGCGUUAUCCGGAUUUAUUGGGUUUAAAGGGAGAGUAGGUGGAUUGUUAAGUCAGUUGGGAAAGUUUGCGGGUCAACCGUAAAAUUGCAGUUGAUACUGGCAGUCUUGAGUACAGUAGAGGUGGGCGGAAUUCGUGGUGUAGCGGUGAAAUGCAUAGAUAUCACGAAGAACUCCGAUUGCGAAGGCAGCUCACUGGACUGCAACUGACACUGAUGCUCGAAAGUGUGGGUAUCAAACAGGAUUAGAUACCCCGGUAGUC
This 460-nucleotide ribosomal RNA is filed under the name uncultured bacterium. Its description in RNAcentral is "partial 16S ribosomal RNA". It matches the Rfam family "Bacterial small subunit ribosomal RNA", at positions 338 to 795 of the family's 1533-position model. The record is from RNAcentral.